CCCCAGACUCCUACGGGAGGCAGCAGUGGGGGAUAUUGGACAAUGGGGGGAACCCUGAUCCAGCGAUGCCGCGUGAGGGAAGAAGGUUUUCGGAUUGUAAACCUCUGUGGACAGGGACGAUAAUGACGGUACCUGUCAAGAAAGCCACGGCUAACUACGUGCCAGCAGCCGCGGUAAUACGUAGGGAGCAAGCGUUGUCCGGAAUUACUGGGUGUAAAGGGAGCGUAGGCGGGAGGAUAAGUUGAAUGUGAAAUCUAUGGGCUCAACCCAUAGCUGCGUUCAAAACUGUUCUUCUUGAGUGAAGUAGAGGCAGGCGGAAUUCCUAGUGUAGCGGUGAAAUGCGUAGAUAUUAGGAGGAACACCAGUGGCGAAGGCGGCCUGCUGGGCUUUUACUGACGCUGAGGCUCGAAAGCGUGGGUAGCAAACAGGAUUAGAUACCCGCGUAGUG
Molecule: ribosomal RNA, 448 nt
Filed under: uncultured bacterium
Lineage: Bacteria
Description: bacterial SSU rRNA
Rfam family: Bacterial small subunit ribosomal RNA
Source: RNAcentral